GAAUCUAUCGACCUUGAUAGAAGAGGAGAGAUCCUAUGUGAUUUAUUAGACUGAGUUCUAAGACCUUGGCCAGGGCAGUAAAUACAGUGGAGAAAGAGUUUUCCACUAUCGAACUCAAGUCGAAUAAAUCUAGACAUAUGACAGACGACGGGGUUUGACGAGUUAUCCAUGACCUCCGGUCUGUAGGGAUCCAUAAUAGAAGGAUUGUAUCAUACGAUAACUGCACCUAGAGGUUCAUCAUUCUAUUCUGCUGGGUGGCCACUACAUACUGCUAGGUGUCACUGGUGGAUGGUGAGACUCACAGGGAUCAUCUUGAUGGUCGAUAAAUCCUGAUGAGUUGAGUUGAAAUUGUUUCAACCCAUUGAAAAUUGAAAGGAGUUUUCAAUGAUAUUGUGAUAGAUAUCACAAUAUAUCUCAUUACCAGUCAGAAUGGAACCUAUGGGGUCACACACA
RNAcentral lists this long non-coding RNA (453 nucleotides) under Phoenix dactylifera (date palm). RNAcentral's name for it is "long non-coding RNA (PDAC_LNC019747)". Lineage: Eukaryota; Viridiplantae; Streptophyta; Magnoliopsida; Arecales; Arecaceae. The record is from RNAcentral.